GUGAAGAACGUAGUGAAAUGCGAUAAGUAAUGUGAAUUGCAGAAUUCAGUGAAUCAUCGAAUCUUUGAACGCACAUUGCGCCCCUUGGUAUUCCGAGGGGCAUGCCUGUUCGAGCGUCAUUAUAACCCCUCAAGCUCAGCUUGGUGUUGGGGCCUGCUGCACUGGCAGCCCUUAAAAUCAGUGGCGGCGCCAUCUGGCUCUAAGCGUAGUAAUUCUUCUCGCUAUGGAGUCCUGGUGGAUGCUUGCCAUCAACCCCCAAUUUUUCUAUGGUUGACCUCGGAUCAGGUAGGGAUACCCGCUGAACUUAAGCAUAUCAAUAAGCGGAGGA
Molecule: unclassified non-coding RNA, 328 nt
Filed under: soil metagenome
Description: partial contains 5.8S ribosomal RNA, internal transcribed spacer 2, and large subunit ribosomal RNA
Rfam family: 5.8S ribosomal RNA (bases 2-119)
Source: RNAcentral